GAAAUCAGUUCAGCACUAAGUCACUUUGUCUAUAUGGCAAAUGUGAGAUGCAGUGUAUGGAACAUCAAUAUUCUAGUAUGAGAAAUUAACGAUUUAAGUCCUUCUUAAAUGAGGCCAUUUACCCAUAGAGGGUGCCAGGCCCGUAUAACGUUAAUGAUUAUUAGAUGGUGUUUCCAAAGAGUCGUGUUGCUUGAUAGUGCAGCACUAAGUGGGUGGUAAACUCCAUCUAAAACUAAAUAUAACCAUGAGACCGAUAGUAAACAAGUACCGUGAGGGAAAGUUGAAAAGAACUCUGAAUAGAGAGUUAAAUAGUACGUGAAACUGCUUAGAGGUUAAGCCCGAUGAACCUGAAUAUCCAUUAUGGAAAAUUCAUCAUUAGAAUUGUAAUAUUUAAACAAUAUUAUAAUAAUAGUGUGCAUUUUUUCCAUAUAAGGACAUUGUAAUCUAUUAGCAUCAAAAAAUUUAUCAAAAAAUUUUAGUCAAUUGCUUAUUUAAAUUAAAAUGCUUGCAUUUUAACGUAAAUUAAAUGUCAUAAACUUGAUAAAGUGCUGAUAGAUUUAUAUGAAUACAGUGCGUUAAUUCUUCGGAAUUAUAUAAUGGCAUGAUUGAUCAUUGAUUUUUGUGUUUAUUAUAUGCACUUGUAUGAUAACAAUGCGAA
Molecule: ribosomal RNA, 658 nt
Filed under: Drosophila unispina
Lineage: Eukaryota; Metazoa; Arthropoda; Insecta; Diptera; Drosophilidae
Description: eukaryotic LSU rRNA
Rfam family: Eukaryotic large subunit ribosomal RNA
Source: RNAcentral